RNAcentral lists this ribosomal RNA (393 nucleotides) under uncultured nitrite-oxidizing bacterium. Its description in RNAcentral is "bacterial SSU rRNA". It matches the Rfam family "Bacterial small subunit ribosomal RNA", at positions 521 to 916 of the family's 1533-position model. The record is from RNAcentral.
UAAUACGAAGGUGGCAAGCGUUGUUCGGAUUUACUGGGCGUACAGGGAGCGUAGGCGGUUGGGUAAGCCCUCCGUGAAAUCUCCGGGCCUAACCCGGAAAGUGCGGAGGGGACUGCUCGGCUAGAGGAUGGGAGAGGAGCGCGGAAUUCCCGGUGUAGCGGUGAAAUGCGUAGAGAUCGGGAGGAAGGCCGGUGGCGAAGGCGGCGCUCUGGAACAUUUCUGACGCUGAGGCUCGAAAGCGUGGGGAGCAAACAGGAUUAGAUACCCUGGUAGUCCACGCCUUAAACUAUGAAUACUAAGUGUCGGCGGGUUACCGCCGGUGCCGCAGCUAACGCAGUAAGUAUUCCGCCUGGGAAGUACGGCCGCAAGGUUGAAACUCAAAUGAAUUGACGG